GCAGGAGUAGCUUAAUGGCCAGAGCGCGCGGUUUGGGACCGUGUAGGUAUUCGUUCGAAUCGGAUCUCUUGCA
Molecule: transfer RNA, 73 nt
Filed under: Flavilitoribacter nigricans
Lineage: Bacteria; Pseudomonadati; Bacteroidota; Saprospiria; Saprospirales; Lewinellaceae
Also listed under: 1 other name
Rfam family: tRNA
About the family: Transfer RNA (tRNA) molecules are approximately 80 nucleotides in length. Their secondary structure includes four short double-helical elements and three loops (D, anti-codon, and T loops). Further hydrogen bonds mediate the characteristic L-shaped molecular structure. tRNAs have two regions of fundamental functional importance: the anti-codon, which is responsible for specific mRNA codon recognition, and the 3' end, to which the tRNAs corresponding amino acid is attached (by aminoacyl-tRNA synthetases). tRNAs cope with the degeneracy of the genetic code in two manners: having more than one tRNA (with a specific anti-codon) for a particular amino acid; and 'wobble' base-pairing, i.e. permitting non-standard base-pairing at the 3rd anti-codon position.
Source: RNAcentral